Molecule: non-coding RNA, 148 nt
Filed under: Pan paniscus (pygmy chimpanzee)
Lineage: Eukaryota; Metazoa; Chordata; Mammalia; Primates; Hominidae
Also listed under: 1 other name
Source: Rfam by way of RNAcentral
GCCAGGCAUGUUGGCAGGUGCCUGUAAUCCCAGCUACUUGGGAGGCUGAGGCAGGAGAAUCACUUGAACCUGGGAGGCGGAGUUUGCAGUGAGCCAAGAUCAUGCCACUGCAUUCCAGCCUGGGCGAUAGAGUGAGAUCCUGUCUCAA